AGAAAAGAUAGAGGUUGCGGUUGCCAUGAGUAGCGCGUCCAAGUUGAUUACACUCAACGGUGCGGGCGCAUGAAAGGGAAGACCGCCGAAAUCAACUGGGCAAGUGUAAGCCUGGUUGGUUGGGCCACCGGUGAAUAACCGCUGGACUGUCGCAGUUAACGGCUGCGGAGCGCUAUCGUAAAU
Molecule: non-coding RNA, 183 nt
Filed under: Lacticaseibacillus thailandensis
Lineage: Bacteria; Bacillati; Bacillota; Bacilli; Lactobacillales; Lactobacillaceae
Also listed under: 1 other name
Description: Lactobacillus thailandensis Lysine sequence
Rfam family: Lysine riboswitch aptamer
About the family: Riboswitches are metabolite binding domains within certain messenger RNAs that serve as precision sensors for their corresponding targets. Allosteric rearrangement of mRNA structure is mediated by ligand binding, and this results in modulation of gene expression. This family includes riboswitches that sense lysine in a number of genes involved in lysine metabolism, including lysC.
Source: RNAcentral